RNAcentral lists this transfer RNA (75 nucleotides) under Pseudomonadota bacterium. RNAcentral's name for it is "tRNA-Ala". It matches the Rfam family "tRNA". From Rfam's summary of the family: Transfer RNA (tRNA) molecules are approximately 80 nucleotides in length. Their secondary structure includes four short double-helical elements and three loops (D, anti-codon, and T loops). RNAcentral also lists the same sequence under 2 other names. The record is from RNAcentral. Lineage: Bacteria; Pseudomonadati; Pseudomonadota.
GGGGCCGUAGCGCAGAGGGAGCGCGCCUGAAUGGCAUUCAGGAGGUCCCGGGUUCAACUCCCGGCGGCUCCACCA